AUGGAUGGCUACUCUGUAACUGAUAUUGAAGUUAACAACAAACAAGGACACGCAAGACAAAAGCACGAAACUCAUAGGUAUACACAGCUAUCUCUUGAGCUUCUUAGCAAAGAGAAUUUUGAGCAGAAACUUGGUGGUGGUGUUGGAAGAGGAACAAUACAUCGUCCCUUUGGUAUUCCAGCAAACCCAGAAUCCACUGUUGGCUUGGAUACACCGUUGUGUAAGCUGUGUUGGGAUGAACAAGUCAAGGGUAAAUUCAGGGAAAAUAUUUUAUUUGUCACCUUCUCAAAAACGCCCAACUUGAAGAUUAUUGUAGAGAUAUUAUUUGAACACUAUGGAUAUCAAGUGCCCGAUUUUCAAAGUGAUGAAGAAGCAGUUAAGCGAUUGGGACUUUUGCUUAGGAAAAUUGAGGGAAGUUCAAUGUUGUUGUUCCUGGAUGAUGUUUGGCCUGUCUCAGAAGCCCUUGUCAAGAAAUUUCAAGUCCUGAUACUAGAUUCUAAAAUUUUGGUAACUACUAGGGUUGGAUUUCCUAGAUUAGGCACUCAGUGUAUCUUAAAACCACUCGUUCAUGAUGAUGCAAUAACCCUUUUCCGGCAUUAUGCGUCAUUGGAAGAAAGCUGUUCUAGUAUUUCUGAAGAAGUCAUCCAAAAGGUUGUGAAAAACUGCAAGGGUUUACCACUUUCCAUCAAAGUGAUUGGUAGCUCACUCUGUAAUCAGCCUUUUGAGUUGUGACCAAAGACAGUGGAGGAAUUGUCCCAAUGUCUACUUGAUUCUAACUUCAGAUAAUUCUGUCAAGGAGUGCUUCAGGGACCUAGGGUUAUUUCCUGAAGACCAAAGAAUUCCUUUUACUUCUCUUAUUGAUAUGUGGGCAGAGUUGUAUGGACUAGAUGAUGAUGGCAUAGAGGCAAUGUCCAUCAUCAACAAAUUAGACUCCAUGAAUCUGGCUAAUGUCUCGGUAGAAAGACAAUUACUUCUACAAUAACCUCUUCAUCGUCCUUCAUGACCUUCUGAGAGCUUGCAAUUCAUCAAAGCACCCAGGAACCAAUUGAACGGAGAAAAAGAUUGAUUAUUGAGAUAAAUCAAAAUAAACCUGAGUGUUGGCUUGGGGAGAAGUCAAAAUUGCUUGGCUGGCGUGUUAAACAGAAGCCCCAACAUGCCACUGACCACACAUUGUCUAUAUCAACUGAUGAAAAUUGUACUUCAGAUUGGCCCCUAAUGAUGCAACUGGCUCAAGUUGAGGUUCUGAUUUUUAAUCUUUAAACUAGGAAAUAUUCCUUUCCAGAUUUCAUAGAAGAGAUGAACAAACUAAAAGUUCUGAUAGUCACAAGUUACAGUUUCCAUCCUUCUGAAAUGAGCAACUUUGAGCUAUUUGGCUCUUUUCCAACCUGAAAAGAAUACGACUAGAGUGGAUUUUUGUUCCUUCCUUUGUUGCAAUGAAGAAUCUUAAAAAGUUAUCCCUCUACACGUGUAAUAUGAAGCAGGCAUUUGAAAACAAUCACAUGCUAAUUCCAAACGCUUUUCCGAAUCUUGAAGAGUUAAACAUUGACCAUUGCAAAGAUAUGGUGGCAUUGCCUAAGGGGCUCUGUGAUAUCACCUCCUUGAAGAAGCUCAGCAUUACUAAUUGCCACAAACUCUCUGCACUGCCGCAAGAAAUUGGAAAUUUGAUGAAUUUGGAACUCCUAAGCCUCAGUUGCUGUACUGAUUUGGAAGGUAUACCAGCUUCUAUUGGAAGGCUUUCAAAUCUACGACUUAUGGACAUCUCAAAUUGCAUAAGCCUUCCUAGUUUACCGGAGGACUUUGGUAAUCUGUCUAGUCUGCAAAAUCUCUACAUGAGAAGUUGUGCAAGGUGUGAAUUACCAUUCUCAGUUGCUAAUCUUGAGAAUUUAAAGGUGGUGGUAUGCGAUAAAGAGAUAGCUGCUUCAUGGGACGAUUUCAAGCCUAUGCUUCCCAAUCUAAAGAUAGAUACUUGUUCCUUAAUUAUUGUUAACCUGAAUUGGUUUCAUUCAAUCUCUUCCUAAUAUCAUGUAGUUCAGGUUGUCUUUUCAAGGUGUGAAUUACCAUUCUCAGUUGAUAAUCUUGAGAAUUUAAAGGUGGUGAUAGGCGAUGAAGAGACAGCUGCUUCAUGCGAAGAUUUCAAGCCUAUGCUUCCCAAUCUAAAGGUUGUCAAUUCAAGAGCUGUUCAAGUGUUUCUGUUUUAAACCGCAACUGAUGUAAUUUGCGGGUUGGAGUUACUCGAACUCCUUGUGACUUAACUCCAACCAUAAUAAUGAAUGUUCUUCUGUUUGCUGUUCAAAAAAAGAAAAUCACACCAAAAAGGAAAAAGAAUAAAAUACAAUUUUCACGUUAGUAAAAGUAGAGCUGUCAAUUUGGCCAAGUUACAAGGUGGGCCAGGCAGAAAACGCACAUAGGGCCAAAAUGCCCAUAAAAGAAAUGGCUAUAGGGACAGAAAGCUCACAAAGCCCUGUGGGCUAGGACAGUCCAUGGGCCUUGAACUUUUAAGAAAUUUAUUUAUUAUUAAAAUUAUGUUCCAACUCUA
RNA transcript from Glycine soja, 2536 nucleotides. It is a transcript of the gene named probable disease resistance protein At5g66900, with no coding region annotated. The transcript is spliced from 7 exons. NCBI's taxonomy places the organism in Eukaryota, Viridiplantae, Streptophyta, Magnoliopsida, Fabales, Fabaceae. The record is from RefSeq and is a predicted model, not a curated record.